GCAGAGAGGGCCAACGGGUCUGUGAUGGGUGGACGGCGUUGUGGCCGCGGCGGCACCCCAGUGGUCCCUCCGCGUGGGACCCCUCACGCUGCCGUGGAGGGCAGGUCCUGUCCCCUGCCCCUCUCUGGCGUCACCCCACACCCGUGGUGGCUCCCCCUCCCUCACCCAAGUGAGGGCUGCUGGUAUCUGGGGAGGAGAUAGGAGACCUCGAGGGUCAAUGUUUUUAACUAUGGUUCCUCAUGCUCCCUGAGGAGAGAGGAAGGGGCAGGUCCCUGUCCCUGCGUCUGCCUGUCUUGUGUGGCAGCUCAGGGUCACUGUGAGGCCUCCCUCCCUGCCCCUCUG
RNAcentral lists this long non-coding RNA (342 nucleotides) under Marmota monax (woodchuck). The record is from RNAcentral. Lineage: Eukaryota; Metazoa; Chordata; Mammalia; Rodentia; Sciuridae.